Molecule: ribosomal RNA, 585 nt
Filed under: uncultured bacterium
Lineage: Bacteria
Description: bacterial SSU rRNA
Rfam family: Bacterial small subunit ribosomal RNA
Source: RNAcentral
CUACGGGAGGCAGCAGUAGGGAAUCUUCCGCAAUGGACGAAAGUCUGACGGAGCAACGCCGCGUGAACGAUGAAGGCCUUCGGGUCGUAAAGUUCUGUUGUCAGGGAAGAACAAGUGCCGUUUGAAUAAGGCGGCACCUUGACGGUACCUGACCAGAAAGCCACGGCUAACUACGUGCCAGCAGCCGCGGUAAUACGUAGGUGGCAAGCGUUGUCCGGAAUUAUUGGGCGUAAAGCGCGCGCAGGCGGUCUUUUAAGUCUGAUGUGAAAGCCCAUGGCUCAACCAUGGAUGGUCAUUGGAAACUGGGAGACUUGAGUACAGAAGAGGAGAGUGGAAUUCCACGUGUAGCGGUGAAAUGCGUAGAUAUGUGGAGGAACACCAGUGGCGAAGGCGACUCUCUGGUCUGUAACUGACGCUGAGGCGCGAAAGCGUGGGGAGCAAACAGGAUUAGAUACCCUGGUAGUCCACGCCGUAAACGAUGAGUGCUAGGUGUUAGGGGUUUCGAUGCCCUUAGUGCCGAAGUUAACACAUUAAGCACUCCGCCUGGGGAGUACGGCCGCAAGGCUGAAACUCAAAGGAAUUGAC